RNAcentral lists this ribosomal RNA (1485 nucleotides) under Prochlorococcus marinus str. MIT 9211. RNAcentral describes it as "Bacterial small subunit ribosomal RNA". It matches the Rfam family "Bacterial small subunit ribosomal RNA". The record is from Rfam by way of RNAcentral. Lineage: Bacteria; Bacillati; Cyanobacteriota; Cyanophyceae; Synechococcales; Prochlorococcaceae.
ACAACGGAGAGUUUGAUCCUGGCUCAGGAUGAACGCUGGCGGCGUGCUUAACACAUGCAAGUCGAACGAACCUUCGGGUUAGUGGCGGACGGGUGAGUAACGCGUGGGAAUCUGCCCUCAGGAGGGGGAUAACGGUUGGAAACGGCCGCUAAUACCCCAUAUGCCGAAAGGUGAAAUGAAUUUCGCCUGAGGAUGAGCCCGCGUCUGAUUAGCUAGUUGGUGUGGUAAUGGCUCACCAAGGCUUCGAUCAGUAGCUGGUCUGAGAGGAUGAUCAGCCACACUGGGACUGAGACACGGCCCAGACUCCUACGGGAGGCAGCAGUGGGGAAUUUUCCGCAAUGGGCGAAAGCCUGACGGAGCAACGCCGCGUGAGGGAUGAAGGCCUCUGGGCUGUAAACCUCUUUUCUCAAGGAAGAAGAUAUGACGGUACUUGAGGAAUAAGCCACGGCUAAUUCCGUGCCAGCAGCCGCGGUAAUACGGGAGUGGCAAGCGUUAUCCGGAAUUAUUGGGCGUAAAGCGUCCGCAGGCGGCCCUUCAAGUCUGCUGUUAAAACGUGGAGCUUAACUCCAUCAUGGCAGUGGAAACUGUUGGGCUUGAGUGUGGUAGGGGCAGAGGGAAUUCCCGGUGUAGCGGUGAAAUGCGUAGAUAUCGGGAAGAACACCAGUGGCGAAGGCGCUCUGCUGGGCCAUAACUGACGCUCAUGGACGAAAGCCAGGGGAGCGAAAGGGAUUAGAUACCCCUGUAGUCCUGGCCGUAAACGAUGAACACUAGGUGUCGGGGGAAUCGACCCCUUCGGUGUCGUAGCUAACGCGUUAAGUGUUCCGCCUGGGGAGUACGCACGCAAGUGUGAAACUCAAAGGAAUUGACGGGGGCCCGCACAAGCGGUGGAGUAUGUGGUUUAAUUCGAUGCAACGCGAAGAACCUUACCAGGGUUUGACAUCCUGCGAACCUUUAAGAAAUUAGAGGGUGCCUUCGGGAACGCAGUGACAGGUGGUGCAUGGCUGUCGUCAGCUCGUGUCGUGAGAUGUUGGGUUAAGUCCCGCAACGAGCGCAACCCACGUUUUUAGUUGCCAGCAUUUAGUUGGGCACUCUAGAAAGACCGCCGGUGAUAAACCGGAGGAAGGUGUGGAUGACGUCAAGUCAUCAUGCCCCUUACAUCCUGGGCUACACACGUACUACAAUGCUACGGACAAAGGGCAGCAAGCUCGCGAGAGCAAGCAAAUCCCAUAAACCGUGGCUCAGUUCAGAUCGUAGGCUGCAACUCGCCUACGUGAAGUAGGAAUCGCUAGUAAUCGCAGGUCAGCAUACUGCGGUGAAUACGUUCCCGGGCCUUGUACACACCGCCCGUCACACCAUGGAAGUUGGCCACGCCCGAAGUCGUUACUCCAACCCUUGUGGAGGAGGACGCCGAAGGUGGGGCUAAUGACUGGGGUGAAGUCGUAACAAGGUAGCCGUACCGGAAGGUGCGGCUGGAUCACCUCCUAA